This 253-nucleotide ribosomal RNA is filed under the name uncultured bacterium. RNAcentral describes it as "partial 16S ribosomal RNA". It matches the Rfam family "Bacterial small subunit ribosomal RNA", at positions 524 to 776 of the family's 1533-position model. The record is from RNAcentral.
UACGUAGGGGGCAAGCGUUGUCCGGAAUCAUUGGGCGUAAAGCGCGCGUAGGCGGCCAGACCAGUCCGGUGUGAAAGUCACAGGCUCAACCUGUGAAUGCCGCUGGAAACUGUCUGGCUAGAGUCCGGAAGGGGCGAGUGGAAUUCCUGGUGUAGCGGUGAAAUGCGCAGAUAUCAGGAGGAACACCUAUGGCGAAGGCAGCUCGCUGGGACGGUACUGACGCUGAGGCGCGAAAGCGUGGGGAGCGAACAGG